GACGAACGCUGGCGGUGUGCUUCACACAUGCAAGUCGAACGAGGUAGCAAUACCUAGUGGCGGACGGGUGAGUAACGCGUGGGAAUCUGCCUUUAGAUGGGGAUAACGGGCCGAAAGGUCCGCUAAUACCGCAUAUGCCGCAAGGUGAAAGGAGUAAUCCGUCUAAAGAUGAGCCCGCGUCCGAUUAGCUAGUUGGUAGAGUAAGAGCCUACCAAGGCGACGAUCGGUAGCUGGUCUGAGAGGAUGAUCAGCCACAAUGGGACUGAGACACGGCCCAU
Molecule: ribosomal RNA, 278 nt
Filed under: uncultured bacterium
Lineage: Bacteria
Description: partial 16S ribosomal RNA
Rfam family: Bacterial small subunit ribosomal RNA
Source: RNAcentral